CUUUUAGAGCUCGUACCACCUGUCAUGCACCGCAGUGCUAUACGAAUGGGGAUAGACGUAGACAAGAUAGUAUAAAUUCGCAACUUCAUAAAGCUGUAUAAAAUCACUAAAAGUUCACAAAUUUUGGAGAACUAAGGUACCUUAUAAGAUUAAAUGAGUAAAUUAAAGGGUGCAGGAUAUACAAUGAUUUUUGGGAGUUUUCUUGGAAUUCUGGGAUUAGCACUUUAUCCUGUUAUCAUUAAGCCGAUGCUGAAUCCAGAGCCUUACAAGGAGAUUCGACAAAGGAAUAUAAUAAAACCUCCGAAUAGAGAUGUAUAAAUGAAGAGAGUACACAGAAGAAAGAUCAUCGUAUUAUUCAUUAUGUAAUAAUGGUACAUAUAUUUUUAAAUAAAACACAAAGUAGUAGAUACAAAAUAAAAA
Molecule: RNA transcript, 420 nt
Organism: Cephus cinctus (wheat stem sawfly)
Lineage: Eukaryota; Metazoa; Arthropoda; Insecta; Hymenoptera; Cephidae
Exons: 3
Source: RefSeq, a predicted model, not a curated record